This is a long non-coding RNA of Balaenoptera acutorostrata (minke whale), 1135 nucleotides long. RefSeq lists it as uncharacterized. The transcript is spliced from 3 exons. The record is from RefSeq and is a predicted model, not a curated record. NCBI's taxonomy places the organism in Eukaryota, Metazoa, Chordata, Mammalia, Artiodactyla, Balaenopteridae.
UUUGCCUCUGUUGUAGCAUCUGGUGUUGGUUAUAAUGCAGUUUGGUACAACGACCCAGGGCUCCAGAAGGAAAGCAAACGUCAAGGAGGUUAUGCAGAGACAUUUUCCUCAGUAUGUAUUGCUCAUACCCACCUAGAUGUCAAAGAAGGAGAUUCACAGGGAGUCAGGACUCCAGAAUGUACGUUUGGCAGUACCUUCAAGAAAGCAACGUUUCUCUUGAUGCACCUGCUCUGAUAAUUUGCUCAUCUGACUACACAAAUGCGCCUGCAACUGAUAGGAGGGUCCAGUUAUGCUGGAUUAAAGAUUCCAACGUAGUAGAGAGCCUGGAACCUUCCCAGAGUUUCUCCCGCUUUCAGAAGUCACAAAUUCAGAUUGACAAGAGCAUUUCUAAAAACUAGAGUCUUGGCGUUUGUCUAGCUUCAGGUAAAUGAUGGUGGUGGUCGUUACUGUGAGAGUUUGAAAGUCACAUCUCUUGCUCCAGAAUGCACUUCAUGAAAGGACACUGGACUAUUAUAUACGCACUGCCAACAUUUGUGUCUGGACACUUCUCUGUGGAGGGCCUCCCUGUGCAUUGCAAGAUGGUGAGCAGCACCCCGACCUCCACCCGCUAGAUGCCGUAGCAGCCCCCCUCCAGACGAUACACCCAAAACGCCCAGACGUUGUUGACUGGCCCAUCGUGGGCAACCCUGCCCCAGGUGAGAACGAACCCCCGUGUUGGAGAGAUGACAUUGUUUCUUUUGAUUCUGCUCUUAGGGAGACUUGUUUUCCUUUUCUCACAUUUCUCAUCAUCCGAAAGCUUCCUACUCUCACUUCCCAGAAAAUGUAAAUUCCCUGAGAACAGGAAGCUUGUCCAACUUGCUUAGCAUACUCAGAGCUUAUCAGCUUUAGUAAAUACUUUGUGAAUAAAUGGAUAGAAACAAAAUCAAAAUAAAUCUGCUCGUGCUUUAUCUGGGUGGAUAAAACACGUGAUUUCAUUAACAAUAUGUUUAAAUCUAUGCGAGUUAUUCAGCUUUGUAUCAGAUGGAAUUUUAUGGAUUAAUUUUACAAAUAAUAGAAAUCUUUCACUUUUACCCAGUGUCCUGUCUCCUAAUUGGGUUAGAAACUCAUCUAAUGACCAUUGUAUGCAAGAGAAAUA